Molecule: ribosomal RNA, 482 nt
Filed under: uncultured bacterium
Lineage: Bacteria
Description: partial 16S ribosomal RNA
Rfam family: Bacterial small subunit ribosomal RNA
Source: RNAcentral
AUUGAACGCUGGCGGCAUGCUUUACACAUGCAAGUCGAACGGUAACAGGCCGCAAGGUGCUGACGAGUGGCGAACGGGUGAGUAAUGCAUCGGAACGUGCCCAGUCGUGGGGGGUAACUACUCGAAAGAGUAGCUAAUACCGCAUACGAUCUAUGGAUGAAAGCGGGGGACCGUAAGGCCUCGCGCGAUUGGAGCGGCCGAUGUCAGAUUAGGUAGUUGGUGGGGUAAAGGCUCACCAAGCCAACGAUCUGUAGCUGGUCUGAGAGGACGACCAGCCACACUGGGACUGAGACACGGCCCAGACUCCUACGGGAGGCAGCAGUGGGGAAUUUUGGACAAUGGGCGCAAGCCUGAUCCAGCAAUGCCGCGUGCAGGAAGAAGGCCUUCGGGUUGUAAACUGCUUUUGUACGGAAAGAAACGGCUCUGGUUAAUACCCGGGGCUAAUGACGGUACCGUAAGAAUAAGCACCGGCUAACUACGUG